This 101-nucleotide small RNA is filed under the name Salmonella enterica. RNAcentral describes it as "partial RtT sRNA". It matches the Rfam family "RtT RNA", at positions 20 to 130 of the family's 130-position model. From Rfam's summary of the family: This family represents a bacterial cis-regulatory element known as RtT RNA. The exact function of RtT is unknown although it is thought that it may be involved in changing the cellular response in relation to amino acid starvation. The record is from RNAcentral. RNAcentral also lists the same sequence under 1 other name. Lineage: Bacteria; Pseudomonadati; Pseudomonadota; Gammaproteobacteria; Enterobacterales; Enterobacteriaceae.
GGAUGAGAACCUCCGGGGGCAAGAGGUUCGACUCGAGCGAAGCGAGAGAACGUUGCGUCAGCAACGGCCCGCAGUGGCAAGUCAUCCUCUGUCACCGGCAG